This 547-nucleotide ribosomal RNA is filed under the name uncultured bacterium. RNAcentral's name for it is "partial 16S ribosomal RNA". It matches the Rfam family "Bacterial small subunit ribosomal RNA", at positions 355 to 895 of the family's 1533-position model. The record is from RNAcentral.
UGGGGAAUUUUGGACAAUGGGGGCAACCCUGAUCCGGCAAUGCCGCGUGUGUGAAGAAGGCCUUCGGGUUGUAAAGCACUUUUGUCCGGAAAGAAAACGCCGUGGUUAAUACCCGUGGCGGAUGACGGUACCGGAAGAAUAAGCACCGGCUAACUACGUGCCAGCAGCCGCGGUAAUACGUAGGGUGCAAGCGUUAAUCGGAAUUACUGGGCGUAAAGCGUGCGCAGGCGGUCCGCUAAGACAGAUGUGAAAUCCCCGGGCUUAACCUGGGAACUGCAUUUGUGACUGGCGGGCUAGAGUAUGGCAGAGGGGGGUAGAAUUCCACGUGUAGCAGUGAAAUGCGUAGAGAUGUGGAGGAAUACCGAUGGCGAAGGCAGCCCCCUGGGCCAAUACUGACGCUCAUGCACGAAAGCGUGGGGAGCAAACAGGAUUAGAUACCCUGGUAGUCCACGCCCUAAACGAUGUCAACUAGUUGUCGGGUCUUCAUUGACUUGGUAACGUAGCUAACGCGUGAAGUUGACCGCCUGGGGAGUACGGUCGCAAGAUU